RNAcentral lists this long non-coding RNA (484 nucleotides) under Anas platyrhynchos (mallard). RNAcentral's name for it is "lncRNA (ENSAPLG00020001191.1)". The record is from RNAcentral. Lineage: Eukaryota; Metazoa; Chordata; Aves; Anseriformes; Anatidae.
CUUGAGUUUGGGCCGUGAAGCGUGGUUGAAUUGCUCGCAGAGAAGGGGAGCACCAGCAUGCGUCCUGUUGUGGCAGGAAAACAAAACUCUCUCUCGUGUCUCCAUGUUAACACGACUGGAAAUUGAACGUAGGGGGAUCUAGCAUGUGAUUACUCUUUUUAGACAGGAUUUUCUUCAUAGCUGAAUUGGACCGAGUCCUUUUUCUCCCAAACCAGAUGUCAUCAUUUCGAAAAUGUCGGAGGAACCACGGCUGAGUGUUCUCCUGCUCCCACCUGUGCUUUGGGAUGUGAAAGAAUAACAUUAGCACAUAGAGGCCUCCACUUCCUCUUGGCUGCAUCUGGACCAUUUUAUUAGGCAAUCCACUGAGCCUGUGAUCAGUCUGAGAGCAGCUGAUGAUGAGCAGUGCCAGGAUACAGUACUGGGCUGCUGAUCAAUUUUGCAUCUUUCAGGAGACUUGAAAAAUUAGAUUAAUGAAGCAUCACUC